GAUGAACGCUGGCGGCGUGCCUAAUACAUGCAAGUCGAGCGAACGGACGAGAAGCUUGCUUCUCUGCUGUUAGCGGCGGACGGGUGAGUAACACGUGGAUAACCUACCUAUAAGACUGGGAUAACUUCGGGAAACCGCAGCUAAUACCGGAUAAUAUUUUGAACCGCAUGGUUCAAAAGUGAAAGACGGUCUUGCUGUCACUUAUAGAUGGAUCCGCGCUGGAUUAGCUAGUUGGUAAGGUAACGGCUUACCAAGGCGACGAUGCAUAGCCGACCUGAGAGGGUGAUCAGCCACACUGGAACUGAGACACGGUCCAGACUCCUACGGGAGGCAGCAGUAGGGAAUCUUCCGCAAUGGGCGAAAGCCUGACGGAGCAACGCCGCGUGAGUGAUGAAGGUCUUCGGAUCGUAAAACUCUGUUAUUAGGGAAGAACAGAUGUGUAAGUAACUGUGCACAUCUUGACGGUACCUAAUCAGAAAGCCACGGCUAACUACGUG
RNAcentral lists this ribosomal RNA (497 nucleotides) under uncultured bacterium. RNAcentral's name for it is "partial 16S ribosomal RNA". It matches the Rfam family "Bacterial small subunit ribosomal RNA", at positions 28 to 507 of the family's 1533-position model. The record is from RNAcentral.